GCCUGGAUAGCUCAGUUGGUUAGAACAUGUGCUGAUAGUGCCAAGGUUGCAGGUUUGAUCCCUGUAUGGGACA
Molecule: non-coding RNA, 73 nt
Organism: Podarcis lilfordi (Lilford's wall lizard)
Lineage: Eukaryota; Metazoa; Chordata; Lepidosauria; Squamata; Lacertidae
Source: the annotation of a GenBank genome assembly